Molecule: ribosomal RNA, 253 nt
Filed under: uncultured bacterium
Lineage: Bacteria
Description: partial 16S ribosomal RNA
Rfam family: Bacterial small subunit ribosomal RNA
Source: RNAcentral
UACAGAGGUGGCAAGCGUUGUUCGGAAUUACUGGGCGUAAAGGGCGCGUAGGCGGCCUUCUAAGUCAUGCGUGAAAUCCCCGGGCUCAACCCGGGAACUGCGUCUGAUACUGGAAGGCUUGAAUCCGGGAGAGGGAUGCGGAAUUCCAGGUGUAGCGGUGAAAUGCGUAGAUAUCUGGAGGAACACCGGUGGCGAAGGCGGCAUCCUGGACCGGCAUUGACGCUGAGGCGCGAAAGCCAGGGGAGCAAACGGG